Molecule: long non-coding RNA, 838 nt
Organism: Lathyrus oleraceus (garden pea)
Lineage: Eukaryota; Viridiplantae; Streptophyta; Magnoliopsida; Fabales; Fabaceae
Exons: 2
Source: RefSeq, a predicted model, not a curated record
AUUAUAAAACCUCCAAACAUACAACAAAUUCCUCACAGCUUCAGCGAGGAAAAUAAGUGAAGCUUGAUUCAAAGUUGUGAAAUAUUUGAAAAAAACUACCAACAUGGUUGGAGGGAAUAAAAAAACUCCGGGAAAGGGGAAAAAACCCAUGAAGCCUUCAUCCAUCAAAAUAAGAUCAUCUGCCCCAAAAAGGUUUAGUAAAAAUGUGGACAAAAGAAUGGAUUCGAAAUCAGGUGGAUACCUCCAGCCAGGCUUAGCUCCCAUCAAAAGUGGCACUAAACAAAUAAAGGAGAAAUUAAAGUCUAAAAAAAUUUCAUGGACAGGCAAACCUCCCGUCCCAAGCUUUGAUGAAUUACCAAACAUAAAAGCGAAAUCAACGUUUGGAAUACCCUCCGGGCCGGGCUCAACUUCCGCGACAGGCCAAUCUUACCAGCAAGGAAAAUUCACCAGGUCAGGCUCAUCUUACGGAACAGGCCAAUCUUCCUAUCAAACCGUUUAUGAGAAUCCUUACGAAAAAGUGAAAUCAACGCUAGGAAGUUCCUUCAGAUGGGACUCACCUUCCGAGACAUACAAUCUUCCCUCCCACCCUUAGGUAAUUCAAUGGUAGGAAGUUCCUCCAGGUUGGGCUCAUCAAUAAAAUAAGGAACUCUUUUAAUGUAACUUUCAAAGAAACUUUUGUCAUGUCUAAAUAAUGUCUACCAACCAUUGUAAUGUGAUGUCCUUGUAUUUUCUUUUUUCAUUUUAUUUUACUUUUUUUCUCCAUCGAUUUGUUUUUCACUAAUCUUCCAAAAUUAAUGACUUUAUCUAUCUAUAAUUCAAAUAAUAUCUCUAUUUCCAG